UACGAAGGGGGCGAGCGUUGUUCGGAAUUACUGGGCGUAAAGGGCGCGCAGGCGGUCCUUCAAGGCAGAUGUGAAAGCCCCGGGCUCAACCUGGGAAUGGCAUUGGUGACUGCACGGCUAGAGUGUGUCAGAGGGGGGUAGAAUUCCACGUGUAGCAGUGAAAUGCGUAGAGAUGUGGAGGAAUACCGAUGGCGAAGGCAGCCCCCUGGGAUAACACUGACGCUCAUGCACGAAAGCGUGGGGAGCAAACAGG
Molecule: ribosomal RNA, 253 nt
Filed under: uncultured bacterium
Lineage: Bacteria
Description: partial 16S ribosomal RNA
Rfam family: Bacterial small subunit ribosomal RNA
Source: RNAcentral